RNAcentral lists this ribosomal RNA (500 nucleotides) under Salmonella enterica. RNAcentral describes it as "bacterial SSU rRNA". It matches the Rfam family "Bacterial small subunit ribosomal RNA", at positions 1 to 490 of the family's 1533-position model. Lineage: Bacteria; Pseudomonadati; Pseudomonadota; Gammaproteobacteria; Enterobacterales; Enterobacteriaceae. The record is from RNAcentral.
AAAUUGAAGAGUUUGAUCAUGGCUCAGAUUGAACGCUGGCGGCAGGCCUAACACAUGCAAGUCGAACGGUAACAGGAAGCAGCUUGCUGCUUUGCUGACGAGUGGCGGACGGGUGAGUAAUGUCUGGGAAACUGCCUGAUGGAGGGGGAUAACUACUGGAAACGGUGGCUAAUACCGCAUAACGUCGCAAGACCAAAGAGGGGGACCUUCGGGCCUCUUGCCAUCAGAUGUGCCCAGAUGGGAUUAGCUUGUUGGUGAGGUAACGGCUCACCAAGGCGACGAUCCCUAGCUGGUCUGAGAGGAUGACCAGCCACACUGGAACUGAGACACGGUCCAGACUCCUACGGGAGGCAGCAGUGGGGAAUAUUGCACAAUGGGCGCAAGCCUGAUGCAGCCAUGCCGCGUGUAUGAAGAAGGCCUUCGGGUUGUAAAGUACUUUCAGCGGGGAGGAAGGUGUUGUGGUUAAUAACCGCAGCAAUUGACGUUACCCGCAGAAGAAG